UUAGAGAAUUUGGGAAAAAAUCAAUCAGAAAUAAUUUUUCCCGAUUCUUUUCUUCUCUCUCGCGAUUCUUUCUGCAACCAACGAUUUUCUCCUCCCAGAUUUCUCUUCGUCUACUGUUCUUGUGUUCAUCAAUCAAUACGAUUCUCUCUUCCCUCCCAUCGAUUCCCUUCUUCAUUUCUCUACAAUUUCAGGUUUCGUUUCUGCUCGGAGUCAUCCCUGUCUUCAUAGCAUGGAUAUACUCAGAGUUUCUGGAGUACAAGAGUGAGAGAGCAAACGUUGGGAGAGAGUAUUAGAGCAAGAAAGUCAACAAUAUUUGGGGAUCAAUAUGUGCAUUUCAACGUCAGCAUCCCUACGCUGAAGACAAGUAAAGAAGCUGGAAGCUGGAGCAAAGUGAAUCAUGAUAUCAGAGUUAUAACUUUUUUUUUACAUAAAACAGAGAGUUAUGAAAAACUGAAGUCUAUUGAAUUUAAUUUACAUCACAUU
This is a long non-coding RNA of Brassica oleracea var. oleracea, 483 nucleotides long. RefSeq lists it as uncharacterized. Lineage: Eukaryota; Viridiplantae; Streptophyta; Magnoliopsida; Brassicales; Brassicaceae. The record is from RefSeq and is a predicted model, not a curated record. The transcript is spliced from 4 exons.